RNAcentral lists this transfer RNA (79 nucleotides) under Octadecabacter arcticus 238. RNAcentral describes it as "tRNA-Val". The stretch from base 1 to 71 matches the Rfam family "tRNA". Rfam says of the family: Transfer RNA (tRNA) molecules are approximately 80 nucleotides in length. Their secondary structure includes four short double-helical elements and three loops (D, anti-codon, and T loops). Lineage: Bacteria; Pseudomonadati; Pseudomonadota; Alphaproteobacteria; Rhodobacterales; Roseobacteraceae. The record is from RNAcentral.
GUCGUUAGCUCAGUUGGUAGAGCGCUUCGUUUACACCGAAGAUGUCGGGAGUUCGAGCCUCUCACGACCCACCAUUGUA